RNAcentral lists this ribosomal RNA (1040 nucleotides) under uncultured euryarchaeote. Its description in RNAcentral is "bacterial SSU rRNA". It matches the Rfam family "Archaeal small subunit ribosomal RNA", at positions 1 to 1054 of the family's 1478-position model. The record is from RNAcentral. Lineage: Archaea; Methanobacteriati; Methanobacteriota.
UUCCGGUUGAUCCUGCCGGAGGUUGCUGCUAUUAGGGUUCGAUUUAGCCAUGCAAGUCUGAUAGCAAUAUCGGCAGAAUGCUCAGUAACACGUCACUAACUUGCCCUAUGGUCGUUGAUAACUUCGGGAAACUGAGGGUAAACAACGAUAAGAGAAUUUUCCUGGAAUGGUCUUUCUCCGAAAUUCGUGCCAUAGGAUAGGGUGGCGGUUGAUUAGGUAGUUGGUGGUGUAAUGGACCACCAAGCCGAUGAUCGAUACGGGCCUUGAGAGAGGUAGCCCGGAGAGGGACACUGAGAAACUGGUCCCAGCCCUACGGGGUGCAGCAGGCGCGAAACCUUUACAAUGCACGCAAGUGUGAUAAGGGGACCCUAAGUGCUCAUGUUUUACAUGGGCUUUUGCCAAGAGUAAAUAUCUUGGAGAAUAAGUGGUGGGUAAGACUGGUGCCAGCCGCCGCGGUAACACCAGCGCCACAAGUGGCAACCACGUUUAUUGGGCCUAAAGCGUCCGUAGCCGGUUUGAAAAAUCUCUUGUGAAAUCGUCAGGCUCAACCUGACGGCGUGCAUGAGACACUCUCAAACUCGAGACCGGGAGGAGUCAAAGGUAUUUCAAGGGGAGCGGUAAAAUGUGAUAAUCCUUGGAAGAUCACCUAUGGCGAAGGCAUUUGACCAGAACGGAUCUGACGGUCAGGGACGAAGGCUAGGGGAGCGAUCCGGAUUAGAUACCCGAGUAGUCCUAGCAGUAAACGCUGCGAGCUAGAUGUUGCACUUCUCACGAGGAUGUGCAGUAUCGAAACGAAGGUGAUAAGCUCGCCGCCUGGGAAGUACGGUCGCAAGACUGAAACUUUAAGGAAUUGGCGGGGGAGCACCACAAGGGGUGCGGCGUGCGGUUUAAUCUAACUCAACGCAGAGAACCUUACUAGAAGCGACGGCAGGAAGAAAGUCAGUCUGAAGGGCUUACUUGACGAGCCGAGAGGUAGUGCAUGGCCGCCGUCAGCUCGUGCCGUAAGGUGUCCAGUUAAGUCUGGCAACGAGCGAGACCCA